This 29-nucleotide non-coding RNA is filed under the name Homo sapiens (human). The record is from RNAcentral. Lineage: Eukaryota; Metazoa; Chordata; Mammalia; Primates; Hominidae.
UUCUGGAGGCUGGAUGCCAAGAGGUGCUA